This is a long non-coding RNA of Puma concolor (puma), 817 nucleotides long. RefSeq lists it as uncharacterized. NCBI's taxonomy places the organism in Eukaryota, Metazoa, Chordata, Mammalia, Carnivora, Felidae. The record is from RefSeq and is a predicted model, not a curated record.
ACGCCCGGGCAGCCGCGGGCCCCGCCAGCCGCAGCGCCCACGGAACCGGUGCCCCAGCCCCCGGGUCUCCUUCCGCGUCUUUCCUCCCAAACACCCCGGCGAGUCGAGGGCGCGACCCGCGAAGCCAGAAACCACCUUCUCCCAAAGCGUGGCCCUCCAGGUACCUAAUUGAAUCAUCCAUAGGAUGACAAAUCCGUCCGGGCCAAGUUUUCCAGACACUUGGGCAACUUCCUCGUCCCCGGGGUGAUUUGUCAGCUCCAGUGAGUAACUUGGAAGUGUCGCUCGGGGCAAGGGACGGGAGCCGUGAGCAGGACAGAGUGCCCGAGACUGAGACAUUCUCCAAACAGUGCUGACAUUCUGUCGGCCCCAGAGAAGUGUAAACGCGGAGUGACGAAGCCGAAGCCGGCGGGGAGUGCGAGCGUCUGGGUACGUCUGCGCAUUCUGCGGCGUGGGAGGUGAUAGUUAUAGACCUGGCGGCUGCGGGUGGCGGGACCGUCCCAGCGACAAGUUCAAGGACCCCCAACCGAAGGGCCUCCUGGAGCAGUGGGGACCUGGUCUCGGGCGAGGUGCGAGCGUGCAAAAAAAUGCCCUUGGUGGAGCUUCACAAACACGUGGGAGCUGGAAAAGGCAGCUUCAGCCCCGUGUGUGUGCGCGCGCGGGACCUCACGUCACCCCACCAACUCUCACUUCUCCAAAGUUUCCCUUCAGUGGGGACUCCUGGGUGGCAUGCAGGACCACAGCCUCGCGUCCUGUAACUUGCCUUCAUUGUGUGGCCCUCUGGCCCCUGCUGUUCAAAAGAAAAACCAAAAACAAAAUC